Molecule: long non-coding RNA, 2123 nt
Organism: Chenopodium quinoa (quinoa)
Lineage: Eukaryota; Viridiplantae; Streptophyta; Magnoliopsida; Caryophyllales; Amaranthaceae
Exons: 4
Source: RefSeq, a predicted model, not a curated record
UACUAAAAUAAAAAAUUUUAAAAGAAAAAUAUUUCAAAAAUUACAAAAUUUAAUAAACCAUUUACUAAAGGGUAGAAUCGUACUUCUUGCACUUUGGUGCUUUUACCUUGAGAAGUUAUUUCAACUUCCCACUCCUCAUUUAAUCGUACAUUUUUGCCUUUAUUACUACCACACAUUUCUCGCUCCCCAUGAAUUACUGCACUUUCUCUCUUCUUUCUCUCUUUUGCGCGGAAGUUCCCUGGUGAUUUCCGAGGCGGCGAAUGGCUUGCGAUUCUUGGUUUUGUGCUUUUGUUAGCUUCAAUUGAUAGGUAAUUACUUCAAUUAUUUGCUUUCGUAGUUCAAUUUAGCGAAUAUCAAGUAAAAUUCCCAAAACUAGGUCUAGGUUUUCACUUCGAAUUGUUGAAAAAAGGGGGUCGAUUGUUUAGAAAGAAAAAUGGUGACCAAAUAGAAGUUGUAAAUGACUCCUGUUCUAAAGGAUGAAUUGGUGAAGAUGAUUGGGUUUCCUGAGAGUGUUUUUGCUUACAUUUCAUGAAAGGGUAAAAAGGUAAAACAUUACCCCAAGGGUUUCGUCAUAUUUCGGUCUUGGUUCUUGGAGACAGUGGCUAUGUUUCCAUUCAAACCUCUGACUAGAUCUUUCUUUGAAUUGUUGGGGAUAAGUCCCGGGCAGCUUAUGCCGUCUGGGUGGAGGAUUAUUUUGUUAGUUUUGGAGGAGGUUACCAAAGAUAGUGAGGAUCCAUUUACUUUGAAGGAUUUGAUAGAAGCUUAUGAUAUAAAGAUGAUGAAGGAUUGUUUUGUAAGUUUAUUUAAGAAGAGGGAACCUUUGGUGUUGAAUACUAAUUGUAAUGACAGGGGUUGGGCUUAUUAGUUUGUCUAUAUAAAAAAGAUUUUGCUGGGUGUUGACGAAACAUAGAUGACGGAAGGAUAGCCGGAGGAUGAGCUCAGUCUUGAUUUUUUAGAAUCGUCGGACAAAUCUGCUGCCAAGGUUUAGCGAUUUCUCAAAGUCGAAAGUGCAAAAAGGACCUUUGAGAGGACGAAGCGCCCUCUAGGUGAAUCGUCAGGUCAAAAGCACAUAGGUUCACCAAGCGCAUCUCAGAAAGUCCAAGAUUCAAGAAACAAUGUCUACUCAAUCUGCAGCGCAGGGUCUUCAUUGGGGGCGAAACAUGUCUCAGGCAGAACAGGAUGCUCGGAUGAGGAGGAAACGAGGACUACUUGCAAAGGAUUCGUCCCCGCUAGGACAGAGAAGCUUUAUGCUUUGUCGCCGCAGGGAAUAGGGUAAUGUACCUAAGAUGAUAUUGGUGUCGUCGUCCCCUCUGUCAAAGUAACAGAAGGUUGAUGAUGCUCCGGCGGUUCCCAAUGUGGAAAUGCGCUUUCCUACCAAUAUUCUUCACCUUGGCUAGACGAAUCGUCAACCUAUGUUUCCCCCAAUUUAACCAGCUGCUCUUUCCUGGUUCCCGUGAACAUUUGGCUGGGACAUCUACUCUUGAUAUUGCGUCGGAGGCUGCCUCUAUUCAUCUGAAUUGUUUGCAAAACUCAUUGGUUUUGAGGGAUAGGGUGAUAGGAAUAGCUAAGCAGAUGAAAAGGUUGGACGAUGUUUCAAAAAACUAUGAGGCUAAGACCAAGACUGCGACGAGGCAAUUUGUCACUCUGAAGGAGUUAGAUGAGAUGAUAUUAAAGGUGAAAGGUUUAGAGUGCAAACUGGAGGAGCAAGAGAAUAAUGUAGGAGAGAUGUAGACACCUAAUUGUGUCUCCUCAAAAGCCAAAUCCAGUGAUGAAUACCUUUCACGUCAUUGAUUAUCAAACGAAGUGAAAGUGUGAAAAGUCUUGUGAUGCGGUCAUUUUUAAUAAAAUACUUUCUUUCUGUUUUCGAAAAUGUACUCUAUUUAUGAAAAUAGCCAAUUCAAUUUAGUUUUGUCCAUGAUGUAGGUCCAAUAAUAGUGUAGUAAGAUGGAGCUUGAAAAGACCUUUCCAACGAUAUAUUAUAAAUCCAAUUCCGAAGAAUAAUAAGGGAGUUAUGGCCAAAAUACUAAACUGGGCUUAAAUCGGAUUUUACUUCAACUCAAUUAUCAUGUAGAGGGUCCAAAGCCUUAAUCCCAUUCCUAAACUAAUUGAGAUUAAUUAGAAGC